Molecule: small RNA, 127 nt
Filed under: Marmota monax (woodchuck)
Lineage: Eukaryota; Metazoa; Chordata; Mammalia; Rodentia; Sciuridae
Source: RNAcentral
GCUGGGUGUGGUGGCACAGGCCUGUCAUCCCAGCAACUCGGGAGGCUGAGGCAGGAGGAUCACAAGUUAGAGGCCAGCCUCGGCCACUAGGUGAGGGCCUCAGCAACUUAGAGAGAUCUUGUCUCAA